AACAGCUGCCUGCCUGCUGGCCUUGCUUUUACCUGUUUUCAUUGCAUUGAGCACCAUCCAGAGCUAUCUGCCAUCUAGAAAGUACUGUAAGAUUUAAUUAAUUACAAAAUUUCUUGGAAAAGACCUGUAACAUAGACAGUAGAGUUAUAAACAUUUUAUUUUGCUUUUAUUUUUUCUUUUUGAAAUACAAAAUGUGCACAUUGAGUUUACACAAACACGCGAUGGCAAAUUUCAGUGUACAUGUAUUGUACUACUCUUAAUUUCUACACUGGUGAUAGCAGGGCAGCUUUCAACAUCCUAUCUCUACACCAGAAUAGAUACCUGAUUUAUUGUUGCAAAGACAGUUGCAAAUUUCCUCCUUCUGUAGCCUCUUGGUCUUUGUGAUAUUUCUACAAAACAGGGAUGAUGUGUGUGGCUUUAGUAAUGUGGCAACUUUACAGUUUUGGCUAAGAUGAUUAAAAAUAAUCUGAAUUAUGAUGAGCUAAAUCAUACUGUAAUCUGGAUUAGUUGUUCAGCACUUAUUUUCUACUAAAUCUUGGUAGUAGUUGUCAAUGUAAUGGAACCACUGGUGCUUUCAAAGUGAAUUUUGCUUGCUAAGAAUUUUGCUUGCUAAUUUUGCUUGCUGUUUGUUUGUUCCUAGUAGACAGUGGGGUAGUCAAGGUUUCUUUCUUUGUCCCUGAAUGGCUUGUAAUAUAAACAAACAUGCUGUAAGGAAGUCAGGGGAAAGAGGACAGAUUUGGCCUUUAAUGCUGUUAGGAUUACUUGUUAUUAAGCAUUACGAUAUACUGGAGGAUAAUUACUAUAUACUGGAGGAUAGAUAUCCUGACCCUUUGCAUAUGUCUGUAAACAUCCUUGUGUUGUCUUCUUCAACUUCCACUUAAUGAUUGAUACAAUAGAAAACAGCCUGUAAGAAAGAUUGAACAAAUCCAAAAUUAUUAUAUAGGCCUUGGCUGUAACAUAUUAUGGAAAAUUAAAUGCUUAUUAAAAUAAGUUUUAUUAGGCAUAUGCUGAUAUCUGAUAAUAAACUAAUUUUUAAAUGUUUAAAAAUGCCAGAUAAAAUUAAUUAAUUUCUAACAGAAGGUGGGAAGGCCAUAGAAACGAAACUGGAACUAUGUGUUUUUUUAAUUGUUGUAAUCUUGUUUACUUAAAGUAUAUAAAUGGAAUUACAGCAUUCAAACAUGAAAAUUAAUUUAAUUUCUGGAAAUUAAAUGCAGAUGUCACUAUAUUAGAAAACCAUUCAAAAUCCUAGGACUGAAUACAUACAAAUGAGUAGCAAAAAACACUGAUAUUUUAAAAUCACUGAUAUGUGAAAGCCUCAAUAAUCCCAUGGCUAAGGAACCAAUAAAACUAUAUGCCAGAUUCUAUUUCUUUUGAAUAUUCACAGAGUAUGAAAUGAGUUAGACCAUCCCAUGAACUCAGUGGCAUUAUGAAAAGGAUGCAAAUUUAUAACUAACUGAAAACUCAAAUCUUUUGGGGAUUGCUUUAUAUUAAAACAAAGCUUGUUUGCAUAAUAUGCUUCAGUGUCAAGCUGAGCAAUCUAUGCUAAAAGUGGUAGCUCCAACUUUAAGGGUGGUAGAAUAGUUCACAUUUGUCUGUUGGAUUCAGGAUCUAUUUGACAACUUAAAUCACAUUUUGUUAAAUCACAUUUUCAAAGAGCUGCAUGGAGCGCAUUAUGUUUUCAUCCUGUAAGGGAGAAACAUAGAGCGAUUAAAUUCAGCAUAUCUGCAAGGAAAAGUACACUAUUUUGCCCCUGAGUAUUG
This 1760-nucleotide long non-coding RNA is filed under the name Pan troglodytes (chimpanzee). RNAcentral describes it as "long non-coding RNA NONPTRT012445". Lineage: Eukaryota; Metazoa; Chordata; Mammalia; Primates; Hominidae. The record is from RNAcentral.